This 378-nucleotide unclassified non-coding RNA is filed under the name plant metagenome. RNAcentral describes it as "partial contains 5.8S ribosomal RNA, internal transcribed spacer 2, and large subunit ribosomal RNA". The stretch from base 1 to 105 matches the Rfam family "5.8S ribosomal RNA", at positions 50 to 154 of the family's 154-position model. The record is from RNAcentral.
GAAAUGCGAUAAGUAAUGUGAAUUGCAGAAUUCAGUGAAUCAUCGAAUCUUUGAACGCACCUUGCGCUCCUUGGUAUUCCUUGGAGCAUGCCUGUUUGAGUAUCAUGAAAUCUUUAAAGUAAAUCUUUUGUUAACUCAAUUGGUUUCUACUUUGGUAUUGGAGGUCUUUGCAGCUUCACACCUGCUCCUCUUUGUUCAUUAGCUGGAUCUCAGUGUUAUGCUUGGUUCCACUCGGCGUGAUAAGUUAUCUAUCGCUGAGGACACUGUAAAAGGUGGCCAAGGUAAAUGCAGAUGAACCGCUUCUAAUAGUCCAUUGACUUGGACAAUACUUUUAUGAUCUGAUCUCAAAUCAGGUAGGACUACCCGCUGAACUUAAGC